ACAUCGGCCCUUUUCAGGGCCAUCAAAAAUCAACGAGAACAUUUCG
Molecule: non-coding RNA, 46 nt
Organism: Lasius niger
Lineage: Eukaryota; Metazoa; Arthropoda; Insecta; Hymenoptera; Formicidae
Source: Rfam